Molecule: non-coding RNA, 1649 nt
Organism: Camellia sinensis
Lineage: Eukaryota; Viridiplantae; Streptophyta; Magnoliopsida; Ericales; Theaceae
Source: RefSeq, a predicted model, not a curated record
GGAUGGAUGACAGUGUCUUAGUACCCUGUAAUGAAUUAAGUUGUUCAUCCCUCUAUGCUCCUUAGCCAUGAUGGUUCAAGCAAAUCGGAGAUAUCUGAGAAGACCAUAAAAAUGAAGAAGAAGAUAAAGAUGAUGAAGAUAAAGAAGAUAAUCGAAGGCAUUGUUGUUAUGGGGGCUCUUGUCUUCGUUGAAGCCGAAGGGUUCAGGUAGUUAUUCUUGAAAGUGAAGCUCAACAAGUUGUUUAUGAGUUAAAUUUUAUGCAUAGAAUUGGCGUUGCAACAGAGGUUAUGCUAGCUAAUUGUCAUAUUUUGCUCUAUCUUUUCGUAAAUCUUCUUUUGCUUAUACUAGAGGAACUUGUAAUAGGUGGCUCAUGAUCAUGAAGUAGCAAGGUUUGCAUCCCCACUGAUCUUAGGCUGGUUUGACCUUUAUCUAGUUUUUCAAUAAAAUUUUCUUCAGUAGAAAAAAAAAGAAAAAAAAAAUGAACAAGGAAUCCAAAAGUUUGAAAAGUUUGACAAAAGUGUAUGCAAAUGACAUGGUUAGAGCUAAUAAAAACUGGAAUCCAAACAUUUUUCUUAUUAAUCUGGAGAGGAAACUUGGACCUAUUAAGUUUUAUUGAAUAAGUACUAACACAUUAGUAUUGCCAUGAUUUUAUUAAUUAGUAUUGUCAUAUUUUUUAUUCAUCAGCAGUGUCAUGUUUCAGUUUUAUACAUUUGUAUUAUGCUCAAAUCAAUUCAAGAAGAAAAAUUGAAAAGCAAGAUAUGAUUUGAUCGCUAAAAUUUAUGUAAUAGUUCAAAGAGGAUGAAAUUUGGAAUUCAUUCUUUCUCAUUGAACAUCACAUUGGUUCAAUGCAGUUGUAGUUGCAUACCAUGAUUUAAUCCUUUUUAAUUUUUCUUUUUGAAACAUGGGUUGAUAAUAAAAAGUUUGACAGAAGUGUACCCAAAUGAAUAUGAUUAGGCCUAAUCAAAAUCCAAAUCUGGGAAUUUCAUUUACAAAUCUGCUAAUUUGUUUCAGGAUGAUAAGAAGGUCUUAGUGCCCCAGAAUGAAUUAAGCUGCUCGUUUCUCUUAUUUUGUUGGUUCUAAUCCUCAUUUUUGUGGUUUAUCGAGAAGGUCUAUCAAAGUUGCUAUAGACAAGGCUAAGAAGCAAUGCAGAUUCAGCCUGGGUAGUGCAUUCUUCUAUGCUUCUUCAACCUUGAUGUCCAGCUACUUCGAAGGGAGGCAUAUAUGGUCUGUAAUUUGUUUGGUUUAUUGGGUUUGGAAGACAUUAAUUCUAGAUGUAAUCUUUGAUGGAAAUAGAGAUGACCACACCAUAAUAUAGUGUGACUCUCUGCAUCCUAUUAUUUCCCAUAGCUUGGUGAUUGAUCCUUCCCUCAAGGAGGAUAUAAAUCUAGAAGGUUUGGUUUGAAUUCAAAAUGAAAAGACACAAUUGUAUGAAGCAUAGUGACUACUGGGUUUGGAGACUCAAUAUCAAUGGUUGUAACCAUUGAUAAAGAGACAUCAUGUAGCCUAUAAAUAGAUGGCUGGAACAAUGCAACUACACACUUGGAAUUGCUAAUUAUUCUCUAUUUGUUCUGACUUCCGGAUUGUAUAUUCUUCUUACAUGAUAAACACCCUCAUGGGGAUUAUCGAUCUUUGCCAUUGAUUGUUUUUCC